AUAUCAGUCAUGCAUAGCAUAUCAAUAAGCGGAGGAAAAGAAACUAACAAGGAUUCCCCUAGUAACGGCGAGUGAAGCGGGAAGAGCUCAAAUUUGAAAUCUUAAAGGGUUUCCCUUUACGAAUUGUAGUUUAAAGAAGUGUUUUCUGUUGAGGUUUUGGUAAAAGUUCUUUGGAAUAGGACAUCAUAGAGGGUGAGAAUCCCGUAUUUGACCUUUACUUUCAACUUUGUGAUACACUUUCAAAGAGUCGGAUUGUUUGGGAAUGCAGUCCAAAAUGGGUGGUAAAUUUCAUCUAAAGCUAAAUAUUGGCGAGAGACCGAUAGCGAACAAGUACCGUGAGGGAAAGAUGAAAAGAACUUUGAAAAGAGAGUUAAACAGUACGUGAAAUUGUCAAAAGGGAAGCGUUUGACACCAGUGUUGUUUUUCCGAAAAUCAAUUAACGAAUGCUUGAUUUAUGUAGUUGUAUUAGACCUUAUCAGCUUCUGCACUGCCUUAGUUUUCGAGUCUUUCUUAAUGCACUUUUCAGUUAACAAGUCAACAUCAAUUUCUUUUGUUGUAAAAAAGCUUGAGGAAGGUGGCUUGAGAUUCGUCUUAAGUGUUUAUAGCCUCUUGCCUAUGCAGUCGGAGAGAUUGAGGUCUGCAGCGUAGAUCCUUCGGGGCUAAAUGCAUUUGUGCUAAGUUAUAGCAUUUUAUAGACAACUUGUUGACUAUGAUUUGUCUUGUAGCUUACUCGCUUAUGUUAUUUUACCUACGCUUAGGAUGUUGACGCGCGUGUGUGCGUG
This 782-nucleotide ribosomal RNA is filed under the name uncultured Neocallimastigales. RNAcentral's name for it is "partial large subunit ribosomal RNA". It matches the Rfam family "Eukaryotic large subunit ribosomal RNA", at positions 22 to 639 of the family's 3401-position model. Lineage: Eukaryota; Fungi; Neocallimastigomycota; Neocallimastigomycetes; Neocallimastigales. The record is from RNAcentral.